AGCGUUUAAUCAUGGCUCAGGACGAACGCUGGCGGCGUGCCUAACACAUGCAAGUCGAGCGGAGACAGUGAGUAGCUUGCUAUGAGCUGUUUUAGCGGCGGACGGGUGAGUAACGCGUGAGCAACCUUUCCCAGACAGGGGGAAUAACACACCGAAAGGUGUACUAAUACCGCAUAAGACCACGGAAUCACAUGGUUCUGAGGUAAAAGAUUUAUCGGUUUGGGGUGGGCUCGCGUCCGAUUAGGUAGUUGGUGAGGUAACCGG
RNAcentral lists this ribosomal RNA (264 nucleotides) under uncultured bacterium. RNAcentral describes it as "partial 16S ribosomal RNA". It matches the Rfam family "Bacterial small subunit ribosomal RNA", at positions 8 to 263 of the family's 1533-position model. The record is from RNAcentral.